Molecule: long non-coding RNA, 625 nt
Organism: Malus domestica (apple)
Lineage: Eukaryota; Viridiplantae; Streptophyta; Magnoliopsida; Rosales; Rosaceae
Source: RefSeq, a predicted model, not a curated record
AUGGUACGUCCAGUCUAAAGACUCUGGAGAGAGAAUACUUUAGAGAGAGAGAGAGAGAGAGAGAGGGGCAUCAAAUCAAGGGAAACAAAAAGAAGCAAUGCUGCGACUUACUGUUGCUGGAGCAGCUCCAACCCGAUAUCUUUCUGAUGGGUCUUGUUCCUCGUACCCAAGGCACGUCUCGUCGGAAAUUUGUUUCCACUCCUCAACAAGAGGGAGCAGUGAUGCUUGCUUGAUGGACUUUGCACCGUUCAAGUUUCAUGCAAGGGUGAACUCACCGUUCUGCACAUUGCUGCUGGAGUACAUUAACUGAUAAGCAGUGUGUGGAGUAGGGAAUGAAGCUAUUGGUCCGUUGAGCAUUUAAAAAAUGUUACAACUUGAUGAUAUCUCUUGUGCAAGAAUUCACAGAUCUUGACAUAUAGGCUGAUUCUGUAACUGUAUCUGCUAAGCUUGAUCUAAUUCAUUGCGAAGAAAUCUUUAAUUUAAUUUUCCCAUUCAACGUUGUCUUUUGCUUUAAGUUGGAAUAGUUCUUUUCAGUGCCGGCCAAGAAAGUUUCGUUUCGAUUUCUUUUUGCGGUGAGAUGUCUUGUAAAUCAUGAAAUAGGAUUGUUAAACCCUGUUUUUUUUUU